This is a non-coding RNA of Peromyscus maniculatus bairdii (prairie deer mouse), 5488 nucleotides long. Lineage: Eukaryota; Metazoa; Chordata; Mammalia; Rodentia; Cricetidae. The record is from RefSeq and is a predicted model, not a curated record.
GGGAAGAAGAGGAGAGAGGAGAGGAGAGGAGAGGAGAGGAGAGGAGAGGAGGUGAGUGGAACACGCAGAGGGAGGGAGACCAAACCCCCUCUUUGCUGCGUUGAAAGCUUCUGAAUUUCAAGCAGAAAGUAGAAGGAGCCCCACACAGCAAUAUUCGUCUUUUCUUGGGCUGCGUGUGCAGAGCGUAGACAAUGAAAAUCUCCAUCCCCCUCCCCCAUGCUCUAGCCUACAAGAUUUUUGUUUCUUUCCUUCUCAACGAUGGAAGCCAUGUAAAAUCAAAUAUACAGAGAUGCGCAUUCAUUCUUUAAAGCACAGACUAGCAAACCAAACGAGCUGACCGCGGAUUACCCAAACGCGCACCUGCUGGGAGCGUUCUGGGGUCUCUGCACAAAACCUGCUUUUGAGCUCUUCGGCUUCCUCCGAGAGAGCUGGAGCCCGUCCUUCCCCCUGGCCCACCCAGCCGCAAGGGACGCUGUGAAAAGAGCCGCUGCCCACCGCCUCCGGCCCCGCUGUCCGGAGGACUCCGCCCAUAGAGGUCAACUCCCCUCACUCUUCCUCUUUCCAGUUCGCCCUCCCUCCGCCGAGCCCCUGACUCGGGUCUCCUCCCGACUUUUGCCGCAGAGAGUGCAUAUCUGCUGCGCUGCCCUUAACCUGCGCCGGGAGCAGACUCAGACCAGAUCUCUGUUCUCCAGAGCCGGAGGAAGCCCGAGCAAGCAGCCUUUUCUCCCUGCAGUAAAACCAUAGCCAGACCAGAUGCGCCCCAGCUCUCCCGGGACUCGGCAGGUGCUGUUGAGUUAAUUUUUCCGCCAUACAAAGAAGGAUGACCUAGCCCGCCCUGGGAUUCUGAUCUUUCCCCCAAAUUUCCCAACCAAAAUUGGGGUAUCAGAGGCAUAUCCGUGUGUUUGUCGGACAUACAAACAUGCAUGUUUAUGUUCGUUUUAUCUGCUAGAUUUCUUCUCCGAUGGCAGGAGAUGACUGACAAAGGUUUCUUCAGCAGAACACGCAUGGCGUGGUCCUUAAAGACUUGCUUUUCCUUACAGAUGUCUUAGGAAGGGAUUCAGGGCAAACCAACUCAGUUAAUUGCCUUCAGUAAAAUAACACGAUUACGAAAUUAGAUCUGUACCAGAGGGGUAAUUAACUUCGAUCCGUGCCAUCAUUUGAAAACUAGAUUUAUAGACGUAUGUAUGGAUUUUAGGUGCGCUGUAAAUGGCAUGCAGAUGUAUGCAUAAGUAUACGCAAGCUCAUGCCCCAUCUUCUCUUCCACCACGCAGACUAAUUAACGGCAACUCUAGCAGAUGUGACAGGAGGAGAGCUGAGAUGGAGCACUGCUCUGAGUUACGACCCUGGGGGUAGGGACUCCAAGCCGGAACUCUAGGGGAGGCUGAAGGGCAGAGAGGAAAGUGUGAUAGUUGCAGUGAGUCAGUUGCUUCUGGAUCAAGAUCAGAGACUCUGCCCUCCGUGUUCACAGCGGACCUUGAUUUAAUGUCAUACAAUUAAGGCACGCGGUGAAUGCCAAGAGCGGAGCCUACGACUGCACUUGAAGGACAUCAGAGAGACUCAGGGUCGGAAAGGGUGGGGAGAAACAAUUGCAGGCGUCACGGAAGGGAGCUAGAAUGAACCCAUCCUGUGCAGCAUAAGGACUCCUUGCAUUGAUUCAGAAUCUUUAGAAUGCAAGAGUCAUAUGUUUUUCAGCCAGAGUCCGGGAACCCCGCAUGCAUAUCCCCAAGGGGAAUAUUAGAGGUUUCAUUGACAGCUGUCAGGAGAACAGUAGCUCCCAUUGGUGCAAAUGGUCUAGAAAGUCCGCAUUCGGAAGCGCUGGCCUUUUCAAAACAGAAUGAGGUUGUUCUCAAUCCUGGGCUGAAUUGGGAAAACAAAAUAGGAGAGGGAGUCUAGCAUUAGAUAGCGCCCAGACCACAUUGCACAAGAAACCUCAAAUGACUCAGUCAUCUGUGGAAAUAGGAACAUCCGGUCCCCCAUAGCCCUUGACUUCUCCCAUUCUCUACCCAGUCUCAUGGCGGCCUUGUCUAGCUUUAAAAGACCAAGGCGAAGUCGCAAUACCCAAAUCAGUCAAAGUUGUCGAAUCACGGGAAAGACCAAGCCAGAAACUGAGACUUGGUAAAUUAUUCUAUUUGGAAGACCAUGAGGUAGACUUAGUUAAGGUAGGUCCACUCCACAACCUUGGAGCCUAAGAAAACCAAGGCUGAGAAUGAGCUUUGACGCAAGUCUUUGUUCUGAUGUGGCCUGCCUGGCCUGGGAACAAAGGCGAGGCUGGGCGAGGAUGAACCAAAGUGGCCGCGCCCUCCGCGCCUUGCGCUGUCCGUGGUGCUGACAGGACCCUCUUCCACCUUCUCCUCCUCUUCUUCCUCCUCCAUAUAAACCCGCAAGUAAGGCAAUAAAAUCGCUUCUUCCCUACUAUAAAACAUACAGGAUAUUAAGUAAUUUACAAAUAAAAAUUUGAAAUGGGAAGACAGUAAACAGCUAAACAGUAUUUUACUGAAACUGUCCACUCUAUUAUAACAAUCAGUUGGUUUGGGUUGAAACCCGAAUCCGAGUAGUGGACAAAACCUGAAAAAAGACAUGAAAUAGUAGAAAAAUUUGUUUUGUUUUUCUUAAACCACAACCCUGAAAACAGAGACACGAGGUUCUCAGCUGAGGAUCUUAGCGCAGAUGUGGUCACCAAAGGUACCUUUCAAAGGACCCCAGAGUGUGCCUCAAGAUAUAUUAAAGAGGAUAAUACUGGAGUGAUUAGCUGACCAGGGCAGGCAGGAGUAAAGCAGCCUGAAACCACUGUCUAGGCUCUCAGCGGGGAUCCGAAUAGGGCAGUCUUCCUAAAUGAGUUCUGAAGCCAAGACCCACAGAAGGACCGGCUCUCUGGUGCUCAGGAGCUGAUACUGAGCACCACCUCUCAAGGAGACACUGCGGGCCCAGAGGCCUGAAUCCCGCAUUGCGGGAGAAAUCAGACUGCAGAACUCUCCUCCUCAUAGCUACUCUGGACCGGACCUCUAGAGGCAGGGCAGAUUACCAAAUUACAUAUAAUUAAGAUUUGCCUUAGGACUUGUGGGUCAGAUGGGUCUGAAUUAAUGCAUCCAAUGUAUAUUUAAAAUGCUGAGCCUAUUUCAACAUUUUAACUUAAACAUCGAGAAUAUAUAUAAGCAAUAAAAUAUUAAGUUCUAUAGUUAAUCAUAUUUGCAAUGGAAAGAGAAAUAGGCAAUAAAUUGAUUUGCAUCCAGCCUAGGCCCAAGAAAGAAAAUAUUCCAUGUUUGAGUAUCUUUAUAGAUUCACAUCAUAAAUGCUGUCAAACAUCGGCCAUAGAUAAACUGAACCAGGUUGUACAAGAGAGACAGUGGCAGCAAUUUUUAUGCAGGCCUAGAAAUGGGCUAUAUAUGGACAAUGGCCUAAAAGAUAUGUUUUUAUAACAUUUAUUCUCUUAAACCUGAAUGACGGAAAUGUAUCCACUGACUUAGGAAAUAAAAGAGGUCAGAAACAAUAUCCUUGGUGGUCUAAUUCCUCCUCACUCCGUCCUGAAAGGUGGAUUUUAUUUGUCUUCUGAUUUUAAAACUCUGUAAAUUACCACUUUCAUAUGCACAAAUUUCAGUUCUGUAUUGAUUUCACACAAUACGGGGAAGGGGGAAUGGAAUUUGCAAAACUGUGUUGGGAAAAGAGCUAUCUCAAAUACAAAGAAAACGGCUUUAAGAUGUUCUUCUUGUGUCAGUGAAAAACAAUCACCAGAAUUGGAAAUGAGUCUGAAGCAUUGCAGGCUGUCACAGAGGUUCCUAUAUCCUUCCAGUAUUCAUCCAGUUGUAUUGAUGAACUCUACCCAUAGUCCCUUGAGUAUUUCACAAAGUAAAAAGGGUCUAAGGCUUCAAAACAGUCCUCUUUGCAUUGUUGCAAUUCAUAUUACAUAAUAAGAACACACUAAUACUCCCCAACCUAAUCCUAUUUGUUUAAAAUCGUCCUAAACGCUGGUUCCAGAAAGUUUAAUCAGUUAAAAAAUAUAUUUUCUAAAUAGAAACAAAAUGUGUCAUAUGAGAGAAUUACAAAAGCAUGGGAACAAAUACAUGAUUAAGUCAUCUGGUCACCAAGAUUAAAUCCAGCGUGGUUUCUGAUUCAUCGUGUUUCUAUACUUUUAAAACUAUUUAUUUUCAAUUUCUUUAAAAAAAUAGGCAUCCAGCCUAAUGUCCAUUACAAAAUUUUCCUGCUAUGAAAUUCUGUGCUCAGCAGUUUUCCAGCAAAACAACCCAGGUGGACAAUUAGAGAGCUUUAGUACAGAGGACCAUGGGAGUCCUUCAGCAAUCACAACUUUCAUCUAGUGGUCUGAAAUUAGAGCUUCUCGGAAUAAUUUAGGAACAGCUUGACCCGUUGAGAUGCUCAGGGACAACCCUCUUGGGAAAUAGCUUCUUUCCUUCCAGGGAACAAGAUGCUAGCCCAGCGAACAGUUAUCUGAUGUCAACAAUGCCAGAGCGCCCUCUGCUGGUCCCCAAGAAACAGCGCACUGGUUACAGAAGCCAGAUGGUAGGAGUUUCAGUAAGCCCUGGAAACAUUAAGCUCUUAGGAUCAUUUAAUCUGUGGAAUUUAAAGGCUCCCAUCAUAUUCUCCGCCUGAAAGGCCACCCGAUUUUUAUUUUGAGGGCUCCUGGGAUGGUUAUCUUAGAGGUAGCGAGGAGUCAUUGUUUGAAGUUGACUGAGAUUCUGUUGGUUGCUUUCUAUGUCUUUUUUUUUUUUUUUUUUUUUUUUUUUUUUUGCAGUUUUAUAGCAAAAUAUGAAACUGUAAAUCUCAGGAAAAAAUCAUUCUCAUAGGCAGCUGAAUAUCAAAUAAUUUUCAUUUAUUUUAUCCAUAACUAAAAUUUAAUAAAAGGAAAUAUUUUAAUUAGAAUAAAGAUACCAGGAACAGGGUGUUUACUUUAUUUUAAAGGGUGUUAAAACAAAAAUACAGCCUUACAUAAAGAAUGAUUGUGUUGAUUUGUGUUAAUUUUACUCUAAUUUUCAAAGACUACACUUUUGAAUAAGAAAGCGAGUUAUGUUUGAGGAAGAAGCUGAAAGUUUUGAGUCAUAUUAAUUAAUAUAUCCAAAAAUUCACCUCUGAAAUCUUCCUACUGAGUUAAUAUCAGUACUCAGGUGGCAAAGAUCCCAGAAAGUAGACUACUGUGAGUAAAAUCAUCAGGAAUGCAGAAAUGGAAGCAGCAUGUGUAAAACUCUAAAUGUUAUUUGUAUUUUUCUGUAUGGAACAAUAUAUUAUAAGAUGAAAUGGAGGCUUCUUAAAAAAUUAAAACCCACUUUUGAUUUCACAUCUUAUGGGGCUUAUAUUGAGCAAAAUAAUGUAUAACUGUAUUGUUUCAUCACUGUGAAUUAGAAAUUCCAGCCUAUUAUGCGACAGACACAUCCUCGCUGCGAGAACUGCUACUCACUACAUCGUGCUGGUAUAAUAAAAUGCUUCUAAUUAUGUGGUUGUUAAAUACAACUUCUAAAAUAAAGUUCAGUUUAUUUUAUGA